This 279-nucleotide ribosomal RNA is filed under the name uncultured Lachnospiraceae bacterium. Its description in RNAcentral is "partial 16S ribosomal RNA". The stretch from base 40 to 279 matches the Rfam family "Bacterial small subunit ribosomal RNA", at positions 100 to 339 of the family's 1533-position model. The record is from RNAcentral. Lineage: Bacteria; Bacillati; Bacillota; Clostridia; Lachnospirales; Lachnospiraceae.
AUCGAUUUCUUCGGAUUGAAAUUUUAGUGACUGAGUGGCGGACGGGUGAGUAACGCGUGGGUAACCUGCCUCACACAGGGGGAUAACAGUUGGAAACGGCUGCUAAUACCGCAUAAGCGCACAGUACCACAUGGUACGGUGUGAAAAACUCCGGUGGUAUGAGAUGGACCCGCGUCUGAUUAGCUGGUUGGUGGGGGUAACGGCCCACCAAGGCGACGAUCAGUAGCCGACCUGAGAGGGUGAUCGGCCACAUUGGGACUGAGACACGGCCCAAACUCC